UAGACAGAAGCCUGCUGGUUUUAGGCGUCUAGCUGUUAAUUAGAAGUUUAUGGGAUCAAGGCCCAUCUGUCUAG
Molecule: transfer RNA, 74 nt
Filed under: Tringa ochropus (green sandpiper)
Lineage: Eukaryota; Metazoa; Chordata; Aves; Charadriiformes; Scolopacidae
Description: tRNA-Asn
Rfam family: tRNA
About the family: Transfer RNA (tRNA) molecules are approximately 80 nucleotides in length. Their secondary structure includes four short double-helical elements and three loops (D, anti-codon, and T loops).
Source: RNAcentral